UUGACCGUAUCGGAUUAUUGGGCGUAAGAGCUCGUAGGCGGUUUGUCGCGUCUGCCGUGAAAGUCCGGGGCUCAACUCCGGAUCUGCGGUGGGUACGGGCAGACUAGAGUGAUGUAGGGGAGACUGGAAUUCCUGGUGUAGCGGUGAAAUGCGCAGAUAUCAGGAGGAACACCGAUGGCGAAGGCAGGUCUCUGGGCAUUAACUGACGCUGAGGAGCGAAAGCAUGGGGAGCGAACAGGAUUAGAUACCCUGGUAGUCCAUGCCGUAAACGUUGGGCACUAGGUGUGGGGGACAUUCCACGUUUUCCGCGCCGUAGCUAACGCAUUAAGUGCCCCGCCUGGGGAGUACGGCCGCAAGGCUAAAACUCAAAGGAAUUGACGGGGGCCCGCACAAGUGGCGGAGCAUGCGGAUUAAUUCGAUGCAACGCGAAGAACCUUACCAAGGCUUGACAUGGGCCGGACCGGGCUGGAAACAGUCCUUCCCCUUUGGGGCCGGUUCACAGGUGGUGCAUGGUUGUCGUCAGCUCGUGUCGUGAGAUGUUGGGUUAAGUCCCGCAACGAGCGCAACCCUCGUUCCAUGUCGCCAGCGCGUAAUGGCGGGGACUCAUGGGAGACUGCCGGGGUCAACUCGGAGGAAGGUGGGGACGACGUCAAAUCAUCAUGCCCCUUAUGUCUUGGGCUUCACGCAUGCUACAAUGGCCGGUACAAAGGGUUGCGAUACUGUGAGGUGGAGCUAAUCCCAAAAAGCCGGUCUCAGUUCGGAUUGGGGUCUGCAACUCGACCCCAUGAAGUCGGAGUCGCUAGUAAUCGCAGAUCAGCAACGCUGCGGUGAAUACGUUCCCGGGCCUUGUACACACCGCCCGUCAAGUCACGAAAGUUGGUAACACCCGAAGCCGGUGGCCUAACCCCUUGUGGGAGGGAGCUGUCGAAGGUGGGACUGGCGAUUGGGACUAAUUCGUAACAGGUAACC
This 969-nucleotide ribosomal RNA is filed under the name uncultured bacterium. RNAcentral's name for it is "bacterial SSU rRNA". It matches the Rfam family "Bacterial small subunit ribosomal RNA", at positions 541 to 1501 of the family's 1533-position model. The record is from RNAcentral.